Molecule: ribosomal RNA, 472 nt
Filed under: uncultured bacterium
Lineage: Bacteria
Description: bacterial SSU rRNA
Rfam family: Bacterial small subunit ribosomal RNA
Source: RNAcentral
UGGGGAAUUUUGGACAAUGGGCGCAAGCCUGAUCCAGCCAUGCCGCGUGAGUGAAGAAGGCCUUCGGGUUGUAAAGCUCUUUCGGCGGGGACGAAAUGGUUCGUGCCAAUACCACGGACUGAUGACGGUACCUGAAGAAGAAGCACCGGCUAACUACGUGCCAGCAGCCGCGGUAAUACGUAGGGUGCAGGCGUUAAUCGGAAUUACUGGGCGUAAAGCGUGCGCAGGCGGUUUGUUAAGACAGAUGUGAAAUCCCCGGGCUUAACCUGGGAACUGCGUUUGUAACUGGCAGACUGGAGUGUGGCAGAGGGGGGUGGAAUUCCAAGUGUAGCAGUGAAAUGCGUAGAUAUUUGGAGGAACAUCUGAGGCGAAGGCGACUAUCUGGAUCACAACUGACGCUGAGGUACGAAAGCAUGGGUAGCAAACAGGAUUAGAUACCCAAGUAGUCCCUGAGCGGGCUGGCAAGGCGCAU